GGGGGUGUCAGUUUUGACACGUGGACAGCCCGGUAUGUGCAGGCAGAGCUCUCGUAACUCUUUAAACUGCGGGAAAAUUUAAGUGCAGACUCAACCGUCGCACGGGCAAAGUCAACUGUUUCUCCGUAUUUUACGGCGAACGACUUUGUAUUCGCUUACGUUCGAGCUUAAACUCGUCUGAGCGAACGAUUGCUACUCCCGCCGUCCGGGACGGGAUAGCAGCCGCUUUAUCUCUCGGAUUGUAGUCCCGAUACUGCUCUUAUCGGGAUCAAACUCAGAGCUUUGGAUUCUUUGUGUUUUGUCUGAUUUUUAGCAAAGAGUCCGAGAAUCAAAAUCAUGAUAAGCCUGUAGAAUCAUAUCGUGCAUCCUCAUGGACGGGAGCUCACUCUCCCCACCUCCACCA
Molecule: transfer-messenger RNA, 403 nt
Filed under: Minisyncoccia
Lineage: Bacteria; Bacillati; Minisyncoccota
Description: UBA5004 sp001004085 Standard tmRNA
Rfam family: transfer-messenger RNA
About the family: Bacterial tmRNA, also known as 10Sa RNA or SsrA, is named for its dual tRNA and mRNA-like properties. Its role is to liberate the mRNA from a stalled ribosome.
Source: RNAcentral